RNAcentral lists this transfer RNA (85 nucleotides) under Felis catus (domestic cat). It matches the Rfam family "tRNA". Rfam says of the family: Transfer RNA (tRNA) molecules are approximately 80 nucleotides in length. Their secondary structure includes four short double-helical elements and three loops (D, anti-codon, and T loops). Lineage: Eukaryota; Metazoa; Chordata; Mammalia; Carnivora; Felidae. The record is from Rfam by way of RNAcentral.
GCCUGAGUGGCUCAGUCAGUUGAGCGUCCGACUUUGGCUCAGGUCAUCAUCUCAGGGUCAGUGAGUUCGAGUCCCGCAUCAGGCU